GCUCACAGAGUGUGGUGGCACAUGCCAGUAGUCCUAGUUACUAGGGAGGCUGAGACAGGAGGAUUGCUUGAGUUCAGGAGUUCUGGGCUGUAGUGCCCCUAUGCCGAUUGGGUAUUCAAACUAAUGCAUCAAUAUGGUGACCUCCCAGGAUGGGGGGGGCACCAGGUUGCCUAAAGAGGAGUGAACUGGCCCAGGUCGGAUACAGGGCAGGUCAAAACUCCCGUGCUGAUCAAGACCCUGUCUCAAAAAGUUAAAUAUUGGGGGAAGGGGCACACAACAGGACACACACUCAAAAUGAUGCCUUUCUCA
Unclassified non-coding RNA from Cricetulus griseus (Chinese hamster), 309 nucleotides. It matches the Rfam family "Metazoan signal recognition particle RNA". From Rfam's summary of the family: The signal recognition particle (SRP) is a universally conserved ribonucleoprotein. It is involved in the co-translational targeting of proteins to membranes. NCBI's taxonomy places the organism in Eukaryota, Metazoa, Chordata, Mammalia, Rodentia, Cricetidae. The record is from Ensembl.